This 334-nucleotide long non-coding RNA is filed under the name Gallus gallus (chicken). The record is from RNAcentral. Lineage: Eukaryota; Metazoa; Chordata; Aves; Galliformes; Phasianidae.
GAGGAUCAGUCGGGCUAAGACUACUUUCAUAAUGCUCUCUCCAUGUCCUGUGGUUGAAGUGGCACCAGAAGAGUUAUCAGCAUAACCUCCACUUCCUAUGCAUGCUGUGUCACCAACACGGCCAACCAAUUUAUUAGAGAGUCCUCCAGUGGAUGUUGCACAAGCUACAUUUCCUUCACUGUCUACAGCAACAGCACCGACUGUUCCCAGGUCUUUCUGGAACUCCACAGGGUUGGAAUCCGGCUCAAGGUUCUUCUUCCAUCUCUCCCGAGAUCUCUCAGUUAUGAGUUUCUCCCCUGGAAUCUCAGGAACACCCAUAGCUUGAGCAAAGAGU